AAACUAACAAGGAUUCCCCUAGUAACGGCGAGCGAAGCGGGAAGAGCUCAAAUUUGAAAGCUGGCACCUUCGGUGUCCGCGUUGUAAUCUCGAGACGUGUUUUCCGUGUGGCGCUAUGGACAAGUCCCUUGGAACAGGGCAUCGUAGAGGGUGAAAAUCCCGUACUUGCCAUGGAUGUACCAUGCUUUGUGAUACACGCUCUAAGAGUCGAGUUGUUUGGGAUUGCAGCUCAAAAUGGGUGGUAGACUCCAUCUAAAGCUAAAUAUCGGGGAGAGACCGAUAGCGAACAAGUACCGUGAGGGAAAGAUGAAAAGCACUUUGGAAAGAGAGUUAAAAGUACGUGAAAUUGUCGAAAGGGAAGCGCUUGAAGUCAGCCAUGCUGCUUGAGACUCAGCCUUGCUUUUGCUUGGUGUAUUUCUCGGUAGCAAGCCAGCAUUGGUUUGAGUCGUCGGAGAAGGGUANGAGAAAUGUGGCAUCCUCGGAUGUGUUAUAGGCUUGUACUGGAUACGACGAUUUGGAUCAAGGAACGCAGUGUGCCUCUGGCGGGUCUUCGGACACCUUCACACUUAGGAUGCUGGCGUAAUGGCUUUAAGCGGC
This 597-nucleotide ribosomal RNA is filed under the name Malassezia pachydermatis. RNAcentral's name for it is "partial large subunit ribosomal RNA". It matches the Rfam family "Eukaryotic large subunit ribosomal RNA", at positions 62 to 648 of the family's 3401-position model. Lineage: Eukaryota; Fungi; Basidiomycota; Malasseziomycetes; Malasseziales; Malasseziaceae. The record is from RNAcentral.